This 468-nucleotide ribosomal RNA is filed under the name uncultured bacterium. Its description in RNAcentral is "partial 16S ribosomal RNA". It matches the Rfam family "Bacterial small subunit ribosomal RNA", at positions 28 to 507 of the family's 1533-position model. The record is from RNAcentral.
GACGAACGCUGGCGGCGUGCUUAACACAUGCAAGUCGAACGGAAAGGCCCUGCUCUUGUGGGGUGCUCGAGUGGCGAACGGGUGUGUAACACGUGAGUAACCUGCCCUUUACUUUGGGAUAACUUCAGGAAACUGGGGCUAAUACAGGAUACGUGCUCCUGCUGCCUGGUGGGGGUUGGAAAGUUUCGGCGGUUGGGGAUGGACUCGCGGCUUAUCAGCUUGUUGGUGGGGUAGUGGCUUACCAGGGCUUCGAUGGGUAGCCUGCAUGAGCGGGUGACCGGUCACAAUGGGACUGAGGGACGGCCCAGACGCCAACGGGAGGCAGCAGGGGGGAAUAUUGCACAAUGGGCGGAAGCGUGAUGCAGCAACGCCGCGUGCGUGAUGACGGUCUGCUGGUUGUAAACCGCUUUCGCCUGAGACGAAGCGUGAAUGACGGUAAUGGAUAAAGAAGCACCGGCUAACUACGUG